Long non-coding RNA from Drosophila biarmipes, 1129 nucleotides. RefSeq lists it as uncharacterized. The record is from RefSeq and is a predicted model, not a curated record. NCBI's taxonomy places the organism in Eukaryota, Metazoa, Arthropoda, Insecta, Diptera, Drosophilidae. The transcript has 2 exons.
AUUGUCGUUGGCCUGUAGACAUUGCCAGUUUGGAUCAGUGUUCAACAUUCCUUCUCUGAGCGACAACCGGAAUUUUCAGCUAAAAUUUUUCAAAGUUCUUCUCGUAGCCGCGGUGAAAGUACAAGACCAUUAAACAUCUGACAAUGGAUCAAGACCCUUCAAAAGUCAUUUUAAGUGCCGAACGCCUGGAAGAACUGAAAGAGCUCACCAAUCUCUAUAAAAGGAUCAUAGAACGAUUGGACGAACUUGUGAGAGAACGAGAAAUCCUUUGUUACCAGAUUGAAUCCAUCCUCUGGCUGUGCAACCGCUACAAGCUGCCUAGUCAAUAUGAAAUGCUGUUGUAUCACAUCAAUAAUGUAUUGAACAGUGAUGAUUUCUCAGUUGAAGACGGAAAUCCCAUGGAAUAACUCUUGCGUCAAUGUUUUCUGUUCGUUUUGAAUGAUUUCAAAGUCAACAAAAUUUUAAUUUCGUGUGCCAGUGAAUGAAGAAUGUCAAGCUGAAAAUAUCAUUUUCAAGAUGUACCUAUCCUCCGGAUGUGCAAUCGAUAAUAUAUUGAACCAUUAUGAUUCUUCAAAAGGAGGCGGUGAUCGCAUGGAAAACCCUUUCGUCACUUUGUUCAGUUUGUUUUAAAUGCUUUCAAGAUAAUAUUUGGAAAAGUCAACAAAAUUAUUUGAGUAUGACGAGCUCUCUAUAUAUUUUUCAAGACAGAUCCUUCUCCUGGCUGAGCAAUCGCCACAAGCCACCAAUUCAACAACCGACGUUGUUGUAAUAUAAAAAUAAUUGUUGAACAAUGAUGAUUCUUUAAAUGAAGACGGGGGCUCGCAAGUUUUCUGUUUGUUUAAAAUGCUUUCAAGAUGGAAAUGCAAAGUCAACAAAAUUAUAAUCCCAAGUGACGGAACACCAGUGACAGAAAUAUGUCAAGCUGAAUAUAUAGCUUUCAAGUUGAUCAACAAAAUUAGGAAACCCUGUUAAAGAAAUGCCAGUGAAGUUGUAUCAAGAAAGCCUGAUCAAUACAUUUAUAUGGAAAUUGAAGUACUGAAUUAAUAGUAUUUUGGAAGAUAUAUACCUUUGUACUGGAUGACUUACUCGAAGAAAAAUAUAUUUGUUUAUAAUCCUGGGAUAUUAGAAA